CCUACGGGAGGCAGCAGUGGGGAAUAUUGGACAAUGGGCGAAAGCCUGAUCCAGCAAUGCCGCGUGAGUGAUGAAGGCCUUAGGGUUGUAAAGCUCUUUUACCAGGGAUGAUAAUGACAGUACCUGGAGAAUAAGCUCCGGCUAACUCCGUGCCAGCAGCCGCGGUAAUACGGAGGGAGCUAGCGUUGUUCGGAAUUACUGGGCGUAAAGCGUACGUAGGCGGUUAUUCAAGUCAGAGGUGAAAGCCUGGAGCUCAACUCCAGAACUGCCUUUGAAACUAGAUAGCUAGAAUCUUGGAGAGGUGAGUGGAAUUCCGAGUGUAGAGGUGAAAUUCGUAGAUAUUCGGAAGAACACCAGUGGCGAAGGCGACUCACUGGACAAGUAUUGACGCUGAGGUACGAAAGCGUGGGGAGCAAACAGGAUUAGAUACCCUGGUAGUCCACGCCGUAAACGAUGAUAACUAGCUGUUCGGGCUCUACGAGCUUGAGUGGCGCAGCUAACGCAUUAAGUUAUCCGCCUGGGGAGUACGGUCGCAAGNUUAAAACUUAAAUGAAUUGACGG
Molecule: ribosomal RNA, 561 nt
Filed under: uncultured bacterium
Lineage: Bacteria
Description: bacterial SSU rRNA
Rfam family: Bacterial small subunit ribosomal RNA
Source: RNAcentral